Molecule: ribosomal RNA, 301 nt
Filed under: uncultured bacterium
Lineage: Bacteria
Description: partial 16S ribosomal RNA
Rfam family: Bacterial small subunit ribosomal RNA
Source: RNAcentral
CAGCAGCCGCGGUAAUACGUAGGUGGCAAGCGUUGUCCGGAAUUAUUGGGCGUAAAGGGCUCGCAGGCGGUUUCUUAAGUCUGAUGUGAAAGCCCCCGGCUCAACCGGGGAGUGUCAUUGGAAACUGGGAAACUUGAGUGCAGAAGAGGAGAGUGGAAUUCCACGUGUAGCGGUGAAAUGCGUAGAGAUGUGGAGGAACACCAGUGGCGAAGGCGACUCUCUGGUCUGUAACUGACGCUGAGGAGCGAAAGCGUGGGGAGCGAACAGGAUUAGAGACCCCGGUAGUCCCUGUCUCUUAUAC